This 500-nucleotide ribosomal RNA is filed under the name uncultured Myrionecta. RNAcentral's name for it is "bacterial SSU rRNA". It matches the Rfam family "Eukaryotic small subunit ribosomal RNA", at positions 1213 to 1800 of the family's 1831-position model. The record is from RNAcentral. Lineage: Eukaryota; Ciliophora; Litostomatea; Cyclotrichida; Mesodiniidae.
ACUUACCAGGUCAAGACAUGGGCGUGAUUGACAGGCUAAUGACUUUUCUCGAUUCCAUGGAUGGUGGUGCAUGGUCGCACUUAGUUGGUGCAGUGAUUUGUCAGGUUUAUUCCGGUAACGAACGAGACCUCGGCCUUGUAAAUAGCUAUGCUGCUUACAGGGACAUUGGCGGCUACGCCAAGGAAGCUCGAGGCAAUUGCAGAUCUGGAAUGCCCUUAGAUGUCCUGGGUCGCACGCGUGCUACAAUGACGCCACGAACGAGCUUGCGUGAUGAAAGUUACGCAUAAUCAGCAGUCGGCGUCUUAAGGGAUAGUCUCUUGUAACUGUGGGACUCCAACUAGGAAUGUCUCGUAAGCACAAGUCAACAUCUUGUGUUGAUUACGUCCCUGCUCUUUGUACACACCGCCCGUCGCUCCUACCGAUCGAGUGUUUAGGUGAAUUUGAUGGACGUAAGGAAGUCAAAUAAACCUGAGCACUAGAGAAGAGAAGUCGAGCAUGCC